This 439-nucleotide ribosomal RNA is filed under the name uncultured bacterium. RNAcentral describes it as "bacterial SSU rRNA". It matches the Rfam family "Bacterial small subunit ribosomal RNA", at positions 28 to 480 of the family's 1533-position model. The record is from RNAcentral.
GACGAACGCUGGCGGCGCGCCUAACACAUGCAAGUCGAACGAGAGAUGAGGAGCUUGCUCUUCAAAUCGAGUGGCGAACGGGUGAGUAACGCGUGAGGAACCUGCCUCAAAGAGGGGGACAACAGUUGGAAACGACUGCUAAUACCGCAUAAGCCCACGGCUCGGCAUCGAGCAGGGGGAAAAGGAGCAAUCCGCUUUGAGAUGGCCUCGCGUCCGAUUAGCUAGUUGGUGAGGUAAUGGCCCACCAAGGCGACGAUCGGUAGCCGGACUGAGAGGUUGAACGGCCACAUUGGGACUGAGACACGGCCCAGACUCCUACGGGAGGCAGCAGUGGGGAAUAUUGCACAAUGGGGGAAACCCUGAUGCAGCGACGCCGCGUGGAGGAAGAAGGUCUUCGGAUUGUAAACUCCUGUUGUUGAGGAAGAUAAUGACGGUACUC